Molecule: ribosomal RNA, 560 nt
Filed under: uncultured archaeon
Lineage: Archaea
Description: bacterial SSU rRNA
Rfam family: Archaeal small subunit ribosomal RNA
Source: RNAcentral
AUUACGGGGCGCAGCAGGCGCGAAAACUUUACAAUGCUGGCAACAGCGAUAAGGGAACCUCGAGUGCCAGGUUACAAAUCUGGCUGUCGAGAUGCCUAAAAAGCAUUUCAUAGCAAGGGCCGGGCAAGACCGGUGCCAGCCGCCGCGGUAACACCGGCGGCUCGAGUGGUAACCGUUAUUAUUGGGUCUAAAGGGUCUGUAGCCGGCCGGAUAAGUCUCUUGAGAAAUCUGGCAGCUUAACUGUCAGGCUUUCAGGAGAUACUGUCUGGCUCGAGGCCGGGAGAGGUGAGAGGUACUUCAGGGGUAGGGGUGAAAUCUUGUAAUCCUUGAAGGACCACCAGUGGCGAAGGCGUCUCACCAGAACGGACCUGACGGCAAGGGACGAAAGCUAGGGGCACGAACCGGAUUAGAUACCCGGGUAGUCCUAGCCGUAAACGAUACUCGCUAGGUGUCGGCCACGGUGCGACCGUUGUCGGUGCCGUAGGGAAGCCGUGAAGCGAGCCACCUGGGAAGUACGGCCGCAAGGCUGAAACUUAAAGGAAUUGGCGGGGGAGCACAAU